AUUGAACGCUGGCGGCAUGCCUAACACAUGCAAGUCGAACGGCAGCACGGGUGCUUGCACCUGGUGGCGAGUGGCGACCGGGUGAGUAAUACAUCGGAACAGGUCCUGUCGUGGGGGAUAGCCCUGCUAAAGCCGGAUUACUACCGCAUACGAUCUACGGAUGAAAGCGGGGGCCCUUCGGGCCUCGCGCUAUAGGGUUGGCCGAUGGCUGAUUAGCUAGUUGGUGGGGUACAGGCCUACCAAGGCGACGAUCCGUAUCUGGUCUGAGAGGGAGACCAGCUACACGGGGACAGAGACACGGCCCAGACUCCUACGGGAGGAAGCAGUGGGGAAUUUUGGACAAUGGGGGAAAGCCUGAUCCAGCAAUGCCGCGUGUGGGAAGAAGGACUUCGGGUUGGAGAGCACUUUUGUUCGGAAGGAAAUCCUUGGCCCUAAUACGGGCGGGGGAUGACGGUACCGGAAGAAUAAGCCCCGGCUAACUACGUG
This 486-nucleotide ribosomal RNA is filed under the name uncultured bacterium. Its description in RNAcentral is "partial 16S ribosomal RNA". It matches the Rfam family "Bacterial small subunit ribosomal RNA", at positions 29 to 507 of the family's 1533-position model. The record is from RNAcentral.